GGGAAGUUAUGUUAUUCUCUUUAUAUCAACACAGAAAAAGUAUUGUCUACUCAUUUCCAGCAAUAUGCUUGUUUUUUUUUUCCUUUUAUUGAUGAUUUAUUAUAUGCUUGUUGCAAAUGUUUAUGUAUAAUAUGUAAUGUAUUAUGUAUAUACAUUAUAUAUACACCAUAAUUACUUAAUUUUAGUUUGAUUAAUGUUUUUUUUCUUUUUGUACAAAAUUGAUCUUAUACAUAUAUAUAUAUAUAUAUAUAUAUACACCUCUAUAUAAAUAGAUUAGAUUAGAAAUCUAAAAUCAUAUAUAUGUAAAACAGAGAUGCUUAAAUAAACUAUACGAUCUACA
RNAcentral lists this long non-coding RNA (340 nucleotides) under Capsella rubella. Its description in RNAcentral is "long non-coding RNA (CRUB_LNC004440)". The record is from RNAcentral. Lineage: Eukaryota; Viridiplantae; Streptophyta; Magnoliopsida; Brassicales; Brassicaceae.